GAUGAACGCUGGCGGCGUGCCUAAUACAUGCAAGUCGAGCGAACAGACGAGGAGCUUGCUCCUCUGACGUUAGCGGCGGACGGGUGAGUAACACGUGGAUAACCUACCUAUAAGACUGGGAUAACUUCGGGAAACCGGAGCUAAUACCGGAUAAUAUAUUGAACCGCAUGGUUCAAUAGUGAAAGACGGUUUUGCUGUCACUUAUAGAUGGAUCCGCGCCGCAUUAGCUAGUUGGUAAGGUAACGGCUUACCAAGGCAACGAUGCGUAGCCGACCUGAGAGGGUGAUCGGCCACCCUGGAACUGAGACACGGUCCCGACUCCUACGGGAGGCAGCAGUAGGGACUCUUCCGCAAUGGGCGAAAGCUUGACGGAGCAACGCCGCGUGAGUGAUGAAGGUCUUCGGAUCGUAAAACUCUGUUAUUAGGGAAGAACAAAUGUGUAAGUAACUAUGCACGUCUUGACGGUACCUAAUCAGAAAGCCACGGCUAACUACGUG
This 497-nucleotide ribosomal RNA is filed under the name uncultured bacterium. RNAcentral's name for it is "partial 16S ribosomal RNA". It matches the Rfam family "Bacterial small subunit ribosomal RNA", at positions 28 to 507 of the family's 1533-position model. The record is from RNAcentral.